This 169-nucleotide ribosomal RNA is filed under the name uncultured bacterium. Its description in RNAcentral is "partial 16S ribosomal RNA". It matches the Rfam family "Bacterial small subunit ribosomal RNA", at positions 338 to 524 of the family's 1533-position model. The record is from RNAcentral.
CCUACGGGAGGCAGCAGUGGGGAGUAUUGGACAAUGGGCGAAAGCCUGAUCCAGCAAUGCCGCGUGAGUGAUGAAGGCCUUAGGGUCGUAAAGCUCUUUUACCAGGGAUGAUAAUGACAGUACCUGGAGAAUAAGCUCCGGCUAACUCCGUGCCAGCAGCCGCGGUAAU